GACGAACGCUGGCGGCGUGCUUAACACAUGCAAGUCGAACGGAAAGGCCCUGCUUUUGUGGGGUGCUCGAGUGGCGAACGGGUGAGUAACACGUGAGUAACCUGCCCUUGACUUUGGGAUAACUUCAGGAAACUGGGGCUAAUACCGGAUAGGAGCUCCUGCUGCAUGGUGGGGGUUGGAAAGUUUCGGCGGUUGGGGAUGGACUCGCGGCUUAUCAGCUUGUUGGUGGGGUAGUGGCUUGCCAAGGCUUUGACGGGUAGCCGGCCUGAGAGGGUGACCGGCCACAUUGGGACUGAGAUACGGCCCAGACUCCUACGGGAGGCAGCAGUGGGGAAUAUUGCACAAUGGGCGGAAGCCUGAUGCAGCAACGCCGCGUGCGGGAUGACGGCCUUCGGGUUGUAAACCGCUUUCGCCUGUGACGAAGCGUGAGUGACGGUAAUGGGUAAAGAAGCACCGGCUAACUACGU
Molecule: ribosomal RNA, 467 nt
Filed under: uncultured bacterium
Lineage: Bacteria
Description: partial 16S ribosomal RNA
Rfam family: Bacterial small subunit ribosomal RNA
Source: RNAcentral